GGUGUAGCGCAGUUGGUAGCGCGCUUGCUUUGGGAGCAAGAUGCCGGGGGUUCAAAUCCCUCCAC
Molecule: transfer RNA, 65 nt
Filed under: human gut metagenome
Rfam family: tRNA
About the family: Transfer RNA (tRNA) molecules are approximately 80 nucleotides in length. Their secondary structure includes four short double-helical elements and three loops (D, anti-codon, and T loops).
Source: RNAcentral